Molecule: long non-coding RNA, 206 nt
Filed under: Prunus persica (peach)
Lineage: Eukaryota; Viridiplantae; Streptophyta; Magnoliopsida; Rosales; Rosaceae
Description: long non-coding RNA (PPER_LNC001128)
Source: RNAcentral
GAAAAUCGAUCGGUUUUGUCAAAACUUCAACCCGUUCGUUCUCCUUCAAUUCUCCUCCAAAUUUGUCGAGUAAGGUAUGGAUUUCUACCUAUUUUCCAUGCUCUAGCUGAUGGUUGGGUAGGUUUGCAUCGAAUUGGACCGUAGCUAGCUCAGUUUUCAAAUUGAAAUUCGGCCGAUUUUCGACCUCCGUGUUCGGCCACUUCCGG